This is a non-coding RNA of Gossypium raimondii (Peruvian cotton), 106 nucleotides long. Lineage: Eukaryota; Viridiplantae; Streptophyta; Magnoliopsida; Malvales; Malvaceae. The record is from Rfam.
AAUUCAUGGUGUGGGCACUUCUGAAUCAAUAUCUUGAAAUGCUUACACGCUUCGUGAAGGCUUUCUCCUUAUAACUACUUAAACAUCGAAAUUUCCCUUUUUAACU